RNAcentral lists this ribosomal RNA (115 nucleotides) under Zetaproteobacteria bacterium CG2_30_59_37. The record is from RNAcentral. Lineage: Bacteria; Pseudomonadati; Pseudomonadota; Candidatius Mariprofundia. RNAcentral also lists the same sequence under 5 other names.
CCUGGUGACUAUGGCAGAGAGGAAACGCCUGAUCCCAUCCCGAACUCAGAAGCUAAGCUCUCUAGCGCCAAUGGUACUGUGGGGGUCCCCAUGGGAGAGUAGGACGUUGCCAGGA